AACGCGAAGAACCUUACCUGGGCUCGAAAUGCUGUGGACCAGCUUAUGAAAGUAGGCCUUCCCGCAAGGGGCUGCUGUAUAGGUGCUGCAUGGCUGUCGUCAGCUCGUGUCGUGAGAUGUUGGGUUAAGUCCCGCAACGAGCGCAACCCUCAUCCCUAGUUGCCAUCGGGUCAAGCCGGGCACUCUAGUGAAACCGCCCCGGAUAACGGGGAGGAAGGUGGGGAUGACGUCAAGUCCUCAUGGCCUUUAUGUCCAGGGCUACACACGUGCUACAAUGGUCGGUACAAACCGUCGCGAAACUGCAAAGUAGAGCUAAUCGGAAAAAGCCGGCCUCAGUUCGGAUUGGAGUCUGCAACUCGACUCCAUGAAGCUGGAAUCGCUAGUAAUCGCAGAUCAGAACGCUGCGGUGAAUACGUUCCCGGGCCUUGUACACACCGGCUAC
RNAcentral lists this ribosomal RNA (442 nucleotides) under uncultured bacterium. RNAcentral's name for it is "bacterial SSU rRNA". It matches the Rfam family "Bacterial small subunit ribosomal RNA", at positions 958 to 1397 of the family's 1533-position model. The record is from RNAcentral.